Molecule: small nuclear RNA, 97 nt
Filed under: Oryza sativa Indica Group (long-grained rice)
Lineage: Eukaryota; Viridiplantae; Streptophyta; Magnoliopsida; Poales; Poaceae
Source: RNAcentral
AUAAAAUUGAUAACGAUACAAAUAAGAUUAGCAUGGCCACCGCACUGGAACGAUGACACCCACAAAUCGAGAAAGGCCAAGUAAUUUUUUGCGAUUU